RNAcentral lists this ribosomal RNA (253 nucleotides) under uncultured bacterium. RNAcentral's name for it is "partial 16S ribosomal RNA". It matches the Rfam family "Bacterial small subunit ribosomal RNA", at positions 524 to 776 of the family's 1533-position model. The record is from RNAcentral.
UACAGAGGGGGCAAGCGUUGUUCGGAAUUACUGGGCGUAAAGGGCGCGUAGGCGGCCCGCUAAGUCGAACGUGAAAUCCCCGAGCUCAACUCGGGAACUGCGUCCGAUACUGGCGGGCUUGAAUCCGGGAGAGGGAUGCGGAAUUCCAGGUGUAGCGGUGAAAUGCGUUGAUAUCAUCAGGAACACCGGAGGCGAAGGCGGCUCACUGGGGGUCUUCUGACGCUGAGGAACGAAAGCCAGGGGAGCGAACGGG